GCUUGCUGGAGUACUCGAGUGGCGAACGGGUGAGUAACACGUGGGUAAUCUGCCCUGCACUCUGGGAUAAGCCUGGGAAACUGGGUCUAAUACUGGAUAUGACCUUUCUCCUUAUGGGGUUUGGUGGAAAGUUUUUCGGUGUAGGAUGAGCCCGCGGCCUAUCAGCUUGUUGGUGGGGUGAUGGCCUACCAAGGCGACGACGGGUAGCCGGCCUGAGAGGGUGAUCGGCCACAUUGGGACUGAGAUACGGCCCAGACUCCUACGGGAGGCAGCAGUGGGGAAUAUUGCACAAUGGGCGGAAGCCUGAUGCAGCGACGCCGCGUGAGGGAUGACGGCCUUCGGGUUGUAAACCUCUUUCAGCAGGGACGAAGCGUAAGUGACGGUACCUGCAGAAGAAGCACCGGCUAACU
RNAcentral lists this ribosomal RNA (410 nucleotides) under uncultured Actinomycetales bacterium. RNAcentral's name for it is "bacterial SSU rRNA". It matches the Rfam family "Bacterial small subunit ribosomal RNA", at positions 75 to 502 of the family's 1533-position model. Lineage: Bacteria; Bacillati; Actinomycetota; Actinomycetes; Actinomycetales. The record is from RNAcentral.